GUUAUUUACAAGUCCACAAUUUAUUGCGCGCUCCGUAAAGAAUAAGGAAAAUUGGAAGAAACAAAAGUAUUCUACAACGCAGGGUACAAAAUCGCUGGCAGCCGUCCGUUUUGAAAAAACGAACCCGGACCUCAUUGAGUCAUGGAAGGAUUAUCAUUGGAAGAAAGCAACAAAUGAUUUCGUGAACGAUGAUGCUCGCCAAGAUUAUGAAAAACUGAAGGCUGAUUUUGAGUUACAAACUCAGCAAACAUCCACUGAUGCUUCUAAUAAUGAUAGUCCGUCAUCAGUUGAUCAGGUGGAGGUGUUACAAAAAGUAUUAGGCCAAAGGCGUGGACAUGUGCGAGGAGUGGGCCGCAAAUUGAAG
Humulus lupulus (European hop) is the source of this 364-nucleotide long non-coding RNA. RefSeq lists it as uncharacterized. The record is from RefSeq and is a predicted model, not a curated record. NCBI's taxonomy places the organism in Eukaryota, Viridiplantae, Streptophyta, Magnoliopsida, Rosales, Cannabaceae. The transcript has 3 exons.